Non-coding RNA from Gossypium hirsutum (cotton), 107 nucleotides. The record is from Rfam. NCBI's taxonomy places the organism in Eukaryota, Viridiplantae, Streptophyta, Magnoliopsida, Malvales, Malvaceae.
AACCCAUGGUGAAGGAACCUUUUCAAUAGAUCCUUGUAUCUCUCUCAUGCAUCAUAGAGUGUUUCUAGCUCCAUUUGCACAAAAGAAGAGAUAUCAUUCCUCAAUUU